GGAAAUCAGUCCAGUUCCCCUGUGUGGUCCCGUGGAACAGUGUCUCAGCUGGAACUGUCGGGGUAGAGCUUGGUCGGAGUGCAAAAGGGACAGACGCAUCAGGGGUCCAGCUCAAGGCUCCUGACAGAGGUGCCAAGCUCUCCUGAUGAAAUGUGUUCUGCCCCACUGGGCUCCAGGGACAGUGUCUGGUGCUGUUGAAGCCCUUAUUCGAACUUUCCAGAAUGGAUAGUCCCCCAAAGCUGACUGGAGAGACCCUCAUCGUUCAUCACAUCCCCUUGGUGCACUGCCAAGUCCCAGACAGGCAGUGCUGUGGAGGGGCAGGUGGAGGUAGUGGGAGCACAAGACCUAAUCCCUUCUGCCCACCUGAGCUGGGCAUCACCCAGCCCGAUCAAGACCUAGGACAAGCUGACUCCCUGCUAUUCAGCAGUCUGCACUCUGCUCCAGGAGGAACUGCACGGUCUAUAGACAGCACCAAGAGUAGGAGUCGGGAUGGAAGAGGCCCUGGAGCCCCCAAACGACACAACCCCUUCUUGCUGCAGGAGGGUGUGGGUGAGCCAGGACUUGGUGACCUGUAUGAUGACAGCAUUGGUGACAGUGCCACCCAGCAGUCCUUCCACCUGCAUGGCACUGGCCAGCCCAACUUUCAUCUAUCCUCUUUCCAGCUGCCACCAUCUGGCCCCAGAGUGGGCAGGCCAUGGGGGACAACACGCAGUCGGGCUGGAGUGGUGGAAGGACAGGAACAGGGGCCAGUGAUGACCUUGGAUACUCAGCAGUGCGGCACCAGCCACUGCUGCCGGCCAGAGCUGGAAGCAGAGACUAUGGAGCUGGAUGAGUGUGGGGGACCUGGUGGGAGUGGCAGUGGGGGUGGAGCCAGCGAUACCUCUGGCUUUUCCUUUGACCAGGAAUGGAAGCUCAGUUCAGAUGAAUCCCCAAGGA
Molecule: small RNA, 936 nt
Filed under: Pongo abelii (Sumatran orangutan)
Lineage: Eukaryota; Metazoa; Chordata; Mammalia; Primates; Hominidae
Description: processed transcript
Source: RNAcentral